Molecule: non-coding RNA, 4554 nt
Organism: Leptonychotes weddellii (Weddell seal)
Lineage: Eukaryota; Metazoa; Chordata; Mammalia; Carnivora; Phocidae
Source: RefSeq, a predicted model, not a curated record
GUGAAUGAGGUCUGUUUCCCGUGAUCAUCCUAUUAAAACAAUCGGCCAAGUUGGUUCUUCAUAUCUCAGAUGAGUGGUGAGAUGGAGUAUGAAGCAACCAGUAAAGAAUUCCUGGUUUGUUUUCGGAGCCCAAGCCUCUGAGAGAACCAGGAAUGCUGGCAAAGGCAACAGAAGAAACACUUCUCAGGGGGAAGGUCUGGGGUUGCUUAUGGAUCCAGGGCAAGCAUCCCUUGUCCACAGGUUCUCCAGGGGUUGGCAAAAUCAGGCAUGUGCCUAUACAGACAAAUUGAAUGGCAAGUAUGGAGACCCAGGGCAGGAUUGGAGAGCCCUCUGCAGGCAGGUGGUCCUCACAUUGUGAGGGGUCCAGCUCUGUCUUAGCCCCUCCUUUCCCUGUCCAGCCACUGCACUAAUAGUUUAGCAGCAGAUGGGAAGGGGGAGCUCCGCAGACCUUGUCACUGCUGCCUGCAUUUGGCACAGGGUGCAGGCUGAAAUAGCACAUCCUUUCUAACUCCCUGGCUCGGCAGUUUUUUGUUUUUGUGAUUAAUGUCCAGUGCAAAGGUGAGUAAUGUAGCAAUUCAUUGUAAUUCGAGUUAUGGGGAAUAUAUGGACUCCUUCGCUCAGCAUCACCUUCUCCAAGUCCUUGUCACAUAAAAAGAAUCAUUACAUUGGGAAUACACUGCCAUCAGCCACAAGACCAAGCAGAGAUACAACUCACAUGCCCCAGCUAUCUCCACUGCUAGCAAUGCGAGCCCUUCUUUGUAGAACUGGACGAUGCUAACCGGACUCAAAGGAUAGAAAAGAAAGCUCUCCAUGUCUACUCUUUGGCCCUACCUGUUUUAACUACUAUCUAAAAAUGACCAGUCAAGUCUAAAUGACCCACAAGUCUAAAUGACCCUAAAUUCAUUUCAAUUUUAUAUUGUAUUAUUAUCACCUCAAAGUGACUUUUGAGCUCCCAGGAGAAGUUUGGGAGUGGGAUGAGGGGAAGAAAUCUGGUUGGCCAGCGUAGGAGGGCCUCCCACUCCAAUAGGUCCCGGAGAGCAUGGCUGCUGUCCCCUUGGGUGGGGGGCAGAACAGGUGAGUAGAUGAGAUGCAGUUGAGAGCCUUCGUACUGGCUUCCAGAUUCAAGGGAAGUGGUAAGAUGCCUGCAGGCCUGAGGACCCCAACUCUGCCAGCUUUGGAAGUAAGUGCACACCCCUUGGGGUUUCCAUAGCUCUAUAGGAAAGGGGGUGGAAUGCAGUGAAUCUGGAUUGCCUGUUCUGUCCUCUGAGACUGCAGUCAUGUUGUGCGGGUGUUCAUAUCAACUGGAAGUAUUUCUAAAUUCGUUAGCUGGUGGGGUCGGAGACCUUGGGUUCUUCUUUUACUAAUGCAAGAUAGAUGUAUCAAAGUUAGAAGGGUAAAAGUGCACUUGGAUGGGGUUGAGCAGUAUUAUCAUCUUUACGGAAAAAAUGCCCUGCCCGUGGAGAAGGUGCUGGAAGGUAAGGGAAGAGAGGAAUGAGCUCAGCCCCUAUGGAUUACCUGCAUUUGGCAGGUAAGUCCCCGUUGAUGCACUGUGGGUAUGUGCGUGCCUCCUUGUGCAUGCAUGUUGAGGGACAAGAGGAGCAGGGCAAGCCUCCCUGACCCAGGGCACCUGGUCCCACUGGGAUUUCCUGCCACACCCGGGUGUCUGUCACUCAGAUCUAGUCACCAAACCCACCAAAGCCCUGGAAGGGCACUGAGCAGAGGUGGGAAAGUCUCCUUCCACUAGCCCCUCUCACAGUGCUGGUGCCAGCCACUGCCUGCGCAAAUGGACCCCGUGCAUCGGAUCUUGAGCCCAGGUUAUUGUUCCCAGAGAUGUGUGAACAGCAGUACCUAGCUCCCAGGAAUGACAGCAUGUGUUACCUUUAAAAAAACCUCUCUUCAAUUUUACAGCACCCACAUUUCAGGAACAAACUUUGUGUGCAGUGUCUCUUCUGCUCUGCUGCCCCGCUCCCCGAGCCACAUCGAGGCUCCCUCCAUCUAGUGUGGUCUGAUUGAAAAUUCAAUUCAACUCACUUCAGAUAUGCAUUGAGCACCUUUAUGUUGGCAGCAAAGUGGUAAAAGCCAUAGGGGAUACAAAAUAAGUAUAAAGCACAUUUUUUGUCUUCAAAAAAAGUCUGCUGUGCUAUAGGGAACAACAUGGAGAAACAACAAGAGACCAACAUGAGACAGAAUAUAUUUACUCAUCAGAAUAUGUUGUUCUGACAUUAAGUGCAUUGGAUGUUCCAGAAAAAGAGAUCUCAGGGAGGGCCAGACUUGUCAGGGCAGAAAGGCAUCUUGGAGGGGCUGGGAGCUGGUUUGGGGCUUUGAAGGAUUGGGAGUGUUCAAAUAUGUAGCCAGAUCACAUGCAAAAUUUUUCCUGUUAUUUCAGGUUUUCUACUGAAGCCUUCAAGCUGAAAAUAACAUAACCUAAUUACUUGCACUGUCUAAGAGCUCAUGAAAGAGCUGUCAGCCAGGGCUUACUUAGAGGUGGCCUGGAUGUCCUACAGUCCUCAAUGGCCGCUCCCCAGUUCUGUGCCCCUCACGCCCUCCUACCAGUUUAUAAAAGCAGAUUAUAAAUGUGAGAGGAGGUCCUUACUGGGUUUUUUAGUAGUAGGUGGUCUGCCUGGUACGAAUGGGGGAUGUUUUCUCUCCUCUCCAUUUGGAAGAGGGUAGGGUUGUCCUCAUCUCCCCUAAGACAAGAGAGAAGAGAGCCUGGUGCCCACUACUGGGCUUGAUGCUUGCUGAGGAGUUGAAGCUGUAGGCCCAUUCUGGGGCUGUUCCUGGCACAGAGCACAGUGGGGGAGGUCUUGGGAGAACUUGGCACAGGUCCCCGGAUGAGAGAAGGUAUUGUGAGCAUAAAGACUGGUACCCACUUCUGGCAGGGGAAACUUGGAAGGAGGGGGAGGAGGGGAGCAGCCUGUGAUGUCAGAGCUGGGGGCUGCCUGCGUUCCCACCACAUGGCCUGCCAAGGAUUGGUCAGUGUCCUGUGGACCCAGUGGGUGCUGUGGAAGAAUAUAGAAGCAGAUUGAAGAGGGUGGCCUCCUGGGGGAAGACUCCGAGCCAUGCAAAGCUAUGGGGUGUAUGAAUGAGAAUAGGUGAGGGGAGACAUAUUCCAGGAAGGUGGUGAGGAGCUCAUCCUUCUUGUUCAGCAAUCAUGCAGCAUGGAGGUCCCCUGGGAGAACUCCCCAAACCCACAUGUGGCCCCAGUGUGGAAUACCUGUCAGAUCAAGGCUGUUGCUGGUAAAGGGGAACAGCACGAGUUAUGGAAGAGGGGCUCUUUCCCUCAUGCUUUUCCAGCCCUUGAGGAGGAAGAGGGAGGAUGGAGAGUGGGGAGGAGGAGUGCGGGGACCGACCAGGCUCUUUCUCUCUCUGUGCUAUGGGUCAGGCCCCCAACUGGGAGAAGGGGAAAGCCUUUACAUCGCAUGGGAGACUAGAUUUGAUUUUUCCUGGGCAGGACUUCCUAGCUCCUGAAAGGUGAGUCUCAAUGGUCCAAAUGAGACUCUUCUUUGUAACUGAUAGCACUGAACAGCCCUGAGAGCUGUUGUCCUAAGAUGCUAUCAGGGGGCAGGCAGGGAGAGGACCCAGAGUUCUACUGAAGGGCGUCUGCCCCUGGCACCCCCAGGAGGGCCAGCGAACUGAUUUCAGAGAGACAGGAGCACCAGGAAGGGCAGUUCAGGAAAACACAGGACCCAAGUGGGAGCCAUGGGUGGGGUGUGCCUGGAGUGUUGGGGGGUCUCGGUGACUUUGUCUGGUUGGAGGGGAGGGGACAGCAGAGACUCACUGUGGGAGACUUGAGAUAGGACUUCCAACAUUUUUGAGAGGAUUGGCAGCAGGAGGGGCUAAAGCAAGCAAACAAACAAACAAAAGGAAUAUCCCACUUCUCAAGCAGGUUUCCUGGGAAAGGCUCAUUCUCCACAAAACCACCUCCUCCUUCUUUCCUGAGCGUUUCUAGCCACCAGCCAACAUUUCUCCCCAGUGCACACUAGUUGGUGUGUUGUUGCCACGUGGGUUUGAGAGUCUGUCUUCUUGUAAUAUUCUCAUUUACCCAUUUGUAAACAGAGGCCCAACUGAGGGGGGUUCCUGGAAGGAGGGACGCUCCAUGCCUUUCUUUUCCAAUUCCCACAGGGGCAGGAAGACCCACUGAGCCUGCACUUGUGUGACUGGAUUUAAGUCAACUUGGACCCAGAGAUGAAAGUUUAAUUUCUUGUUUUAUAAAAUGAAUGAGGAACAAGCAGGAGACAGGAGGCGUUUUGGUUUGUGGGGCAUUGGAAGAAGCGACCCACCAUGGUUUCCUGAAGAGUGGAUUUCCAGAGGGUUUUAAUUAUGAUCACCGAGCUACAGCUUGGAGAGACACGGCUGCUCAAGAACCUAGAAGUGUAUUCCUGUGGCUAUGCAAGAAGGCACCCAUCAUUUCCCCAAUCAACUUCACCACUGUCAUCAUCAUCAUCACCAACAUCAUCCGCAUGAGAAUCAUCUUCACCGUUGUCUCCAGCAUCAUCACCACCAUCACCACCAGCAGCCUCUCCUUCACUAUUAUCACCAUCAUCUUCAUCACCA